Non-coding RNA from Ciona savignyi (Pacific transparent sea squirt), 82 nucleotides. The record is from Rfam. NCBI's taxonomy places the organism in Eukaryota, Metazoa, Chordata, Ascidiacea, Phlebobranchia, Cionidae.
CUCGUCGUGGCCGACUGGUAAAGGCGACAGACUACAAAUCUGUUGGGCUCUGCCCGCACAGGUGCGAAUCCUGUCGGCGACG